UAUACCUGCAGUCGAACGCUUCUUUUUCCACCGGGGCUUGCUCCACCGGAAAAAGAGGAGUGGCGAACGGGUGAGUAACACGUGGGUAACCUGCCCAUCAGAAGGGGAUAACACUUGGAAACAGGUGCUAAUACCGUAUAACAAUCGAAACCGCAUGGUUUUGAUUUGAAAGGCGCUUUCGGGUGUCGCUGAUGGAUGGACCCGCGGUGCAUUAGCUAGUUGGUGAGGUAACGGCUCACCAAGGCCACGAUGCAUAGCCGACCUGAGAGGGUGAUCGGCCACAUUGGGACUGAGACACGGCCCAAACUCCUACGGGAGGCAGCAGUAGGGAAUCUUCGGCAAUGGACGAAAGUCUGACCGAGCAACGCCGCGUGAGUGAAGAAGGUUUUCGGAUCGUAAAACUCUGUUGUUAGAGAAGAACAAGGAUGAGAGUAACUGUUCAUCCCUUGACGGUAUCUAACCAGAAAGCCACGGCUAACUACGUGCCAGCAGCCGCGGUAAUACGUAGGUGGCAAGCGUUGUCCGGAUUUAUUGGGCGUAAAGCGAGCGCAGGCGGUUUCUUAAGUCUGAUGUGAAACCCCCCGGCUCAACCGGGGAGGGUCAUUGGAAACUGGGAAACUUGAGUGCAGAAAAAAGAGAGUGGAAUUCGUUGCGGAGCCGGGAAAAUGAAAAAAGAAAUGGGGGGGAAAAAAAGUGGGCGGGGGGGGGUUCUUUGGGUGUGGCACAAAAAAACA
Molecule: ribosomal RNA, 734 nt
Filed under: Enterococcus faecium
Lineage: Bacteria; Bacillati; Bacillota; Bacilli; Lactobacillales; Enterococcaceae
Description: partial 16S ribosomal RNA
Rfam family: Bacterial small subunit ribosomal RNA
Source: RNAcentral